Long non-coding RNA from Helianthus annuus (common sunflower), 1284 nucleotides. RefSeq lists it as uncharacterized. NCBI's taxonomy places the organism in Eukaryota, Viridiplantae, Streptophyta, Magnoliopsida, Asterales, Asteraceae. The record is from RefSeq and is a predicted model, not a curated record. The transcript has 8 exons.
CCUUUCCCCUUCCUUCUCUCUCAUCUCUCUCACAACUCACAACUCACAACUCACCAGAUCUUUUCAUCAACCUUCUCUCUCUGGCGACUCAAGCACAUGCCAACGAUUAGGGUUUCGGUAAGAACCUCCACCAUCAUGACUCUGGCAGCGGCUGCUUGUGGUGUUUGAUGUGUAAAUUGUUGAUUUGAACUUAACGGCGGAGGAAAUGUGAAAAAUUAGGGUUCCGCUAGAGCCUCAGGCGACGACGACAUAAGCAACAACAAGCAAUUGACUCCGACGAUGAAGAAUACCAAGACAAUACGUCCACAAACAACCCCUGUCUGGUGAGAUUCGGACUUUUAAAAUGUCUUCUCAAGAUUAAUUGUUUGUUAUUAGGUUUUGGAGCAUUUGAGUGUUAAAUCCCCUGUUUUUUUCCAAGGUUUUGAUUCGGUAUUCAAGAACAUAUUGAUCUGGGUAUCAAUAUCAUAUUGACUGGUGAUUAUGCAUCUACGGCUCCAUGAGUUGGCUUUGUCCAUUAGAGGGUGCGUCUUGCUAUGCCGAUCACUAUAGUUAUUUGUACUUCCAGCAUUGGUGAGUUCAAAAGGCGCCUUCAACAUGUUUAUGCCUUCCAUGGCCACAUCAGAAAAAAGAGGGCAAUCCAGCAACUUGUGUCGUUAUUCAACCAUGGUCUGGUGGAUGUCUAAAGAAGCUCCCAAAGUGGAAUUAUGAUCGGUCCAGCUCAUGGCAAGCCCGUCGGGAAGAAAGUGAAGUUAUUUUAUAAAUGUUUUUAGUAUAAUAUUCAAAUUUUAUCUUAACAACAUAUACUUGCAGUAUAAUAUUCAAAUUUUCUUUUUAAUUUAUUUAGCUGUGGAAAAUUGGGUAUGAAUGAGAAUGAAAAGGAAUACAAAUCUGGCCUUCACAUUGCUUCAAACGCCAGCUGUACCACCCAUUGCCUUACCCCUCUGGCCAAGCUACACAGAAGACUGCAAAUGCACCACCAGCCAAGGACCGGAGAGGUGGAAGGGUUGCAUUCAACAUCAUUCCCAACAGUACUUGUAGUGCUAAGGUGGCAAGACAGCUUGGUGUGCUAAUUGAGCCAGAAAACUUGCAAUUAAUGUCUCCUUUGUCAAGUGUAGGGGAAUUUUAUUGAUGUGGCAGGUGGGGGUUGGGUGUGUUACUCCCCCUGAGGUCAAGGGUUCGAGCUUUGUCGAAGGCAACUUUAGUGUAAUUUAAACCGGUCAAUAUAUAUUUAUGGCUUUGCUAAUUCAUGUAUAAUGCAUUAUGACUUUGACAAACAUUUGAUUA